CUGGUGCUUUGGGCCACUGGACCACACAAUUUGUCUUACCUUUUACCAUAGUCAAGUUCAAAGACCAAGUACUACAGAUAUAUUCUAGGAGGAGUAAAGUUGAGAGUGAAAUAAUUUCCCUUUCCUCCUGACCCAUCUGCUGUUUAAACAACGAUUUAUCUAUCAAUUGCUGGCUUUCAUGACAUGUCCAAAUGUAGGCAACAGUGAUUCUGUUAUAGGAAAUGCUGUAAGUGAUUACUAUACAAUGGAUGGCUUUUGUCACAGCUGGACAUUCUACAAGAUCCUGGAGGGCAGAAUGGUACUGUGAAGGAGAAACCCAGAAGAAAGAAAACUACUGUGAAUAUCUCCUUGAGGAUGUUAAGAGGAACAAGAGUCAGCAAGCAGCAGGGAGCAGAAACAGAUCUCAAACACUAAGAACACAGAAAGAAAGACACCUUUAUAGGAGCAAAGAAGAAUCUACACAGAACUUUAAUGAUGUGAGAAACCAGUGGGAGUUGCUGGAAUGGAAAGGAUUGGUGGAAGAGCUGGGAUCUAGUGGACAGAUGCUAGAAGUAUUUGUGGAGAGUGAACAGUACAUUAUAGAGAAAGAGCAGCCGCUGUGA
Molecule: long non-coding RNA, 602 nt
Organism: Phasianus colchicus (ring-necked pheasant)
Lineage: Eukaryota; Metazoa; Chordata; Aves; Galliformes; Phasianidae
Source: Ensembl